This 72-nucleotide transfer RNA is filed under the name Loxodonta africana (African savanna elephant). It matches the Rfam family "tRNA". Rfam says of the family: Transfer RNA (tRNA) molecules are approximately 80 nucleotides in length. Their secondary structure includes four short double-helical elements and three loops (D, anti-codon, and T loops). Further hydrogen bonds mediate the characteristic L-shaped molecular structure. tRNAs have two regions of fundamental functional importance: the anti-codon, which is responsible for specific mRNA codon recognition, and the 3' end, to which the tRNAs corresponding amino acid is attached (by aminoacyl-tRNA synthetases). tRNAs cope with the degeneracy of the genetic code in two manners: having more than one tRNA (with a specific anti-codon) for a particular amino acid; and 'wobble' base-pairing, i.e. permitting non-standard base-pairing at the 3rd anti-codon position. The record is from Rfam by way of RNAcentral. Lineage: Eukaryota; Metazoa; Chordata; Mammalia; Proboscidea; Elephantidae.
GAGCCCUAGCACAGUGGUUAAAGCACUUGACUGCUAACCAAAAGAUCGGUGGUUUGAAACCACCAGGGCUCC